CUCUCUCUCUCUCUCACCGUCACUCCUAAAACUUCCCCCUUUUCCUAAACAACCAAAUGUCAUGUUGCCAUAUCAUUUUUUGAUUGGUCGACAUGGUGCAUUUUUCCACCAACACGAAAGGGCAGUUUUUGUCAGGGUCCCUGUGCCUACCCGGUCGGCUCAGCAUGGCUACAUAUGUUUUUAUUUUCAUUUUUGUUCCUGCUCUCUCCCUUCCUCUCUUUCCCUCCUCCCUCGGCCUGGGCGGAGCUCACCUGUGGGCUCCUGCCCCUGCCCCACGCACCUGUGGCUCAUCACGAGAGUGUUCCAGCUCCUUUAUAAGAUGGCAGCUCUGUGUCUCUCGUCGCUGGACCGUUGCCGACCCUCAUUCCCUGGACCCACCCCUGUGUUUUCUGAAGUGAUCGAGUGUGCGUAAGCCAUCGUGCUUUCUGUGGAGUGUGAAGAGGAGCGUGUGGAGUGGACGGAGUGUGUGCGUGGACUUUCAGCGUCUUUCCCUUUCGUGUGUGGAUCCCCGGAGUCUGGCCUUCCCCUCACCUUUGUAAAUAGAUCACCUGGUGAACUGUGAUAAAGACUUUUUGUGUUUUCGAGACUUAGGGCCUGCGCGUGAGUCUGUUCUGUCCCGCUGUGACAGUUUUUUGUUUUGUUUUUAAAAUUUUUUGGUCAUAAUCAGAGAGUGCUUGCUAGCACUGCCCUUAGACAGUAAAUGUGAUGAAACUAUUGAGGAAAAAAACACAUGCGUAUAUAUUGUUUAUCAUUACUCUGGUUUUACGUGGCCUGUCAACACAAUUUAAAAACUGGUAUAUAUCACCUUGUUGCUUUGUCAUCUUGAAGUAGUCGUGUGAUUGGCUUACCAUGAGUAUUUGAUUCUUCCUCAGUCAAACAGCAGCAUUCAUGUGAUUGUUUUGCCCCCUUAGCUCCAGGUCUUGUGCCAAAAAGUGAUCGUCUGCCAGAGCGUAAUUGCCGUCUGCAACUCUAAAGACACAUAGUCAUCCUAGUGUAUAGCAGCAGUUAACAUUAUAGUGUCAUUUUUACAUCUGACUACAGAGGUUGGUGUCAGAGUAACAUCUUACCUGCAAACAUGAAGGUGUUGACCUCAGCCUCUAUCUCCUCAUCUUUUUGGCCUUUUCAUCUUAAUACUUCAACACAGACAUUUUGUAAUGAUGUCAAUCAGUAACAA
Molecule: long non-coding RNA, 1174 nt
Organism: Oreochromis niloticus (Nile tilapia)
Lineage: Eukaryota; Metazoa; Chordata; Actinopteri; Cichliformes; Cichlidae
Exons: 2
Source: RefSeq, a predicted model, not a curated record